RNAcentral lists this ribosomal RNA (1440 nucleotides) under uncultured organism. RNAcentral describes it as "partial small subunit ribosomal RNA". It matches the Rfam family "Bacterial small subunit ribosomal RNA". The record is from RNAcentral.
GCGUGCUUAACACAUGCAAGUCGAACGGAAAGGCCCUGCUUUUGUGGGGUGCUCGAGUGGCGAACGGGUGAGUAACACGUGAGUAACCUGCCCUUGACUUUGGGAUAACUUCAGGAAACUGGGGCUAAUACCGGAUAGGAGCUCCUGCUGCAUGGUGGGGGUUGGAAAGUUUCGGCGGUUGGGGAUGGACUCGCGGCUUAUCAGCUUGUUGGUGGGGUAGUGGCUUACCAAGGCUUUGACGGGUAGCCGGCCUGAGAGGGUGACCGGCCACAUUGGGACUGAGAUACGGCCCAGACUCCUACGGGAGGCAGCAGUGGGGAAUAUUGCACAAUGGGCGGAAGCCUGAUGCAGCAACGCCGCGUGCGGGAUGACGGCCUUCGGGUUGUAAACCGCUUUCGCCUGUGACGAAGCGUGAGUGACGGUAAUGGGUAAAGAAGCACCGGCUAACUACGUGCCAGCAGCCGCGGUGAUACGUAGGGUGCGAGCGUUGUCCGGAUUUAUUGGGCGUAAAGGGCUCGUAGGUGGUUGAUCGCGUCGGAAGUGUAAUCUUGGGGCUUAACCCUGAGCGUGCUUUCGAUACGGGUUGACUUGAGGAAGGUAGGGGAGAAUGGAAUUCCUGGUGGAGCGGUGGAAUGCGCAGAUAUCAGGAGGAACACCAGUGGCGAAGGCGGUUCUCUGGGCCUUUCCUGACGCUGAGGAGCGAAAGCGUGGGGAGCGAACAGGCUUAGAUACCCUGGUAGUCCACGCUGUAAACGGUGGGUACUAGGUGUGGGGUCCAUUCCACGGGUUCCGUGCCGUAGCUAACGCUUUAAGUACCCCGCCUGGGGAGUACGGCCGCAAGGCUAAAACUCAAAGGAAUUGACGGGGCCCCGCACAAGCGGCGGAGCAUGCGGAUUAAUUCGAUGCAACGCGUAGAACCUUACCUGGGUUUGACAUGGAUCGGGAGUGCUCAGAGAUGGGUGUGCCUCUUUUGGGGUCGGUUCACAGGUGGUGCAUGGCUGUCGUCAGCUCGUGUCGUGAGAUGUUGGGUUAAGUCCCGCAACGAGCGCAACCCUUGUUCACUGUUGCCAGCACGUUAUGGUGGGGACUCAGUGGAGACCGCCGGGGUCAACUCGGAGGAAGGUGGGGAUGACGUCAAGUCAUCAUGCCCCUUAUGUCCAGGGCUUCACGCAUGCUACAAUGGCUGGUACAGAGAGUGGCGAGCCUGUGAGGGUGAGCGAAUCUCGGAAAGCCGGUCUCAGUUCGGAUUGGGGUCUGCAACUCGACCUCAUGAAGUCGGAGUCGCUAGUAAUCGCAGAUCAGCAACGCUGCGGUGAAUACGUUCCCGGGGCUUGUACACACCGCCCGUCAAGUCAUGAAAGUUGGUAACACCCGAAGCCGGUGGCCUAACCGUUGUGGGGGAGCCGUCGAAGGUGGGACUGGUGAUUAGGACUAAGUCAU